CAAAUCAAUUUUAUCUUGAUUUUCUCUAGUUCAACACUUAAAGAGGAUAUUUGUCAGGUCACUUACAGCCACACGAAGAUGUCUGGCCUCUACAAGAAAAUCCACGUGAAGACUGGCGCAGAUCAAGGACUUGGAGGUGCUAGCCUGCAAGCAACUUUGACGGCUGAUCUCUUCCCUUUUCUUCAAGCACCUUGGACACUCCAAAAGAUGAAGAGAUCUAGAGGAGAAAGAGAGGAGA
RNAcentral lists this long non-coding RNA (238 nucleotides) under Elaeis guineensis (African oil palm). Its description in RNAcentral is "long non-coding RNA (EGUI_LNC049094)". The record is from RNAcentral. Lineage: Eukaryota; Viridiplantae; Streptophyta; Magnoliopsida; Arecales; Arecaceae.